GUCAAAGCGUUCAUUAAAGUCGAGUUGGCUUAGGGAUACGUUCGUUGGGUAGGGGAGCGUUCUGUAAGCCUGUGAAGGUGUGUCGUGAGGCAUGCUGGAGGUAUCAGAAGUGCGAAUGCUGACAUAAGUAACGAUAAAGCGGGUGAAAAGCCCGCUCGCCGGAAGACCAAGGGUUCCUGUCCAACGUUAAUCGGGGCAGGGUGAGUCGACCCCUAAGGCGAGGCCGAAAGGCGUAGUCGAUGGGAAACGGGUUAAUAUUCCCGUACUUGGUGUUACUGCGAAGGGGGGACGGAGAAGGCUAUGUUGGCCGGGCGACGGUUGUCCCGGUUUAAGCGUGUAGGUGUGUGUUCCAGGUAAAUCCGGUUCACUUUAACACUG
RNAcentral lists this ribosomal RNA (378 nucleotides) under Salmonella enterica. Its description in RNAcentral is "partial 23S ribosomal RNA". It matches the Rfam family "Bacterial large subunit ribosomal RNA", at positions 1181 to 1558 of the family's 2925-position model. RNAcentral also lists the same sequence under 1 other name. Lineage: Bacteria; Pseudomonadati; Pseudomonadota; Gammaproteobacteria; Enterobacterales; Enterobacteriaceae. The record is from RNAcentral.